GACGAACGCUGGCGGCGUGCCUAACACAUGCAAGUCGAACGGAAAGGCCCGGAUUUUGUUGGGUUCUCGAGUGGCGAAAGGGGGAGUAACACGUGAGUAACCCGCCCUUGUCUUUGGGGUAACUUUAGGAAACUGGGGCUAAUACCCGAUAGGAUCUCCUGCUGCGCGGUGGGGGUUGGUAAAUUUCGGCGUUUGGGUAUGGACUCGCGGCUUAUCAGCUUGUUGGUGGGGUAGUGGCUUACCAAGGCUUUGACGGGUAGCCGGCCUGAGAGGGUGACCGGCCACAUUGGGACUGAGAUACGGCCCAGACUGCUACGGGAGGCAGCAGUGGGGAAUAUUGCACAAUGGGCGGAAGCCUGAUGCAGCAACGCCGCGUGCGGGAUGACGGCCUUCGGGUUGUAAACCGCUUUCGCCUGUGACGAAGCGUGAGUGACGGUAAUGGGUAAAGAAGCACCGGCUAACUACGUG
This 468-nucleotide ribosomal RNA is filed under the name uncultured bacterium. RNAcentral's name for it is "partial 16S ribosomal RNA". It matches the Rfam family "Bacterial small subunit ribosomal RNA", at positions 28 to 507 of the family's 1533-position model. The record is from RNAcentral.